RNAcentral lists this ribosomal RNA (468 nucleotides) under uncultured bacterium. RNAcentral's name for it is "partial 16S ribosomal RNA". It matches the Rfam family "Bacterial small subunit ribosomal RNA", at positions 28 to 507 of the family's 1533-position model. The record is from RNAcentral.
GACGAACGCUGGCGGCGCGCCUAACACAUGCAAGUCGAACGGAGCUGAGAGAAGCUUGCUUUUCUUAGCUUAGUGGCGAACGGGUGAGUAACGCGUGUGUAACCUGCCCUGGAGUGGGGGACAACAGUUGGAAACGACUGCUAAUACCGCAUAAGCUCACGAUCCGGCAUCGGCUCGAGGGAAAAGGAUUUAUUCGCUUCAGGAUGGACUCGCGUCCGAUUAGCUAGUUGGUGAGGUAACGGCCCACCAAGGCGACGAUUGGUAGCCGGACUGAGAGGUUGAACGGCCACAUUGGGACUGAGACACGGCCCAGACUCCUACGGGAGGCAGCAGUGGGGGAUAUUGCACAAUGGGGGAAACCCUGAUGCAGCGACGCCGCGUGGAGGAAGAAGGUUUUCGGAUUGUAAACUCCUGUCGUUAGGGACGAUAAUGACGGUACCUAACAAGAAAGCACCGGCUAACUACGUG